CCUACGGGAGGCAGCAGUGGGGAAUAUUGCGCAAUGGGCGAAAGCCUGACGCAGCGACGCCGCGUGAGGGAUGAAGGUCUUCGGAUCGUAAACCUCUGUCAGCAGGGAAGAACGGUCACUGUGCUAAUCAGCAGUGAAUUGACGGUACCUGCAAAGGAAGCACCGGCUAACUCCGUGCCAGCAGCCGCGGUAAUACGGAGGUUGCGAGCGUUGAUCGGAAUUACUGGGCGUAAAGCGCUCGUAGGCGGUAUGUCAAGUCAAGGGUGAAAGCCCCGCGCUCAACGUGGGAACUGCCUUAGAAACUGGCAAACUGGAGUGUGUGAGAGGAGAGUGGAACUCCAGGUGUAGGAGUGAAAUCCGUAGAUAUAUGGAGGAACAUCAGUGGCGAAGGCGACUAUCUGGCACAUAACUGACGCUGAGGCUCGAAAGUGUGGGUAUCAAACAGGAUUAGAUACCCGUGUAGUC
Molecule: ribosomal RNA, 465 nt
Filed under: uncultured bacterium
Lineage: Bacteria
Description: partial 16S ribosomal RNA
Rfam family: Bacterial small subunit ribosomal RNA
Source: RNAcentral